This 66-nucleotide transfer RNA is filed under the name Neoglyphea inopinata. RNAcentral describes it as "tRNA-Lys". Lineage: Eukaryota; Metazoa; Arthropoda; Malacostraca; Decapoda; Glypheidae. The record is from RNAcentral.
CACCCGAUGACUGAAAGUAAGUGUAGGUCUUUUAAACCUAAAAUAGUAUUCGUCUACUUCUGGUGA